UUAAAAUAAGAAUUUAAUUUUGGUUCUGAUUGAACGUUUUUCAGUAGUUUUAAGACAUGCGAAUCAUUAUUAACCUAAUAAUUAUUAAGGCUAUAUAAGUCUAAGAAAAACUUAAACUAAAAAUAGUCCGUUAAUUAAUAAAGGCUAAGUUAAUAAGGUGUAAAGGUGAGGAUAGUAGAUAAGAUACCCUAGAGUCUCCGUAAAUAGGAGAUAAUUUUUAUUUAAAAAAUAAGAAAAUAAGUAAGCUAUAUUUAUUAAAAAAGGAAUAAUUCUGCUUUAGGAUUCUAUUUAUUUUGAUUAGGUAGUUGGAAGGGUAAAGGCCUCCCAAGCCUACGAUCGAUAGUCAAGCUUGACAGAGCAAAUGGCCACAUCGGGAAUGAAAUCUCCCAAGUAGUAUUCACUACCAGCAGUCGAGAAUAUUAGUCAAUGCUCGCAAGAGUGAACUAGCUAACUGAAAUCAUACUUGUGUCAAGUGUGAUAACGUAAGGGAAGAUAAUGACAUUACCUUACUAUUAGUGUUGUCCAAAUCUGGUGCCAGAAGACUCGGUAAGGCCAGAGACGCAAACGUUAGUCGUCUUAAUCAGGCGUAAAGGGUGUGUAGGCAGCUUUUAACUUUAUUCUUUUUCUAAAUCCUCAUUAACCGAGGAAGAAAUAUAGACUAAUAUUAUUAUUAAAUAAAUAAUAAAAAUAUUAAAGAAGGGAAUGAACUAAUAAAAGCUAGAAUCAAAUAGAGGAUAUAUUAAAUAAUAUUUAGAGUAGGGGCGAUAUCCUUAAAUACUAAAUGGAAUAUUAAAGGCGAAAGCUUUUUAUCUACUAAUGAUUGACGCUGAAACACGAAGGUGAGUAUAGGAAAUAGGAUUAGAUACCCAGAUACCACUCACUGUCAACGAUGAAUGGUGGUUACUAGUAAAAAAAUAAAUUAGUAGCUAUGUUAACGCGAUAACCAUUCCGCCAUGUGAGUACAACUGCAAAGUUGAAAACAAAAAAAUUAGUCGGUCUCGAAGCAAACGAAGUGAAGCAUGUUAUUUAAUACGAUAAUCCGCGUAAAACCUUACCAGUUCUUGUAUAACAAAGUUUAAUUUAUUUCAAUAAAUUGCUUAUGUUACAGGUGUUGCAUGGCUGUCGUCAGUCCGUAUUGUGAGAAGUGAGGUUAACUCCGCUAACGGACGAAAUCCCUGUUGUUAAUUUAUACUUAAUAAUUAAUGGUACUGAUAGGGUAUCAUUUGGGGCUAAGACAAGUCGUUAUGGCCCUAAUGAACUGGGCUAUAGACGUGCCACAAAAACUUUUACAAAGUGAAGCGAAACUGUUCCUUUAAAUUUAAUAUGGCUAUAUGCGAAAGUAUAUAAGUAUGUUAUUAUAUUAUUUUUAUUAAAAUAGGGAAAUAAGGUAGAGCUAAUCAUUAAAGAAAGUUAAAUUUUAGUCGGAUUGUCGUCUGCAAUUCGACGACAUGAAGAAGGAAUUUCGAGUAAUCGUUGAUUAGUAAGCGCAACGGUGAAGAUUGCAUUCGUGAUGAACUAACUGUCUGUCGCUGGGAAGAAGCUUAACUUGGAGUAAACUGGAGCGAAAUUAAAACUUUUAUAAAAGUCUUUUAAAGUUCUUUAUAUCUAUCCUUGUAUCAAUGCAAGGUUAAGAACACUUUUGUUAAGAUAAUUAGUUUAGUUAAUUCAUUUAAGUAACAUCUUAAAAGUCAUAGCAAGGUAGCCGUACUGGAAAGUGCUGCUGUAAAUUAAAAUA
RNAcentral lists this ribosomal RNA (1735 nucleotides) under Thelephora aurantiotincta. Its description in RNAcentral is "small subunit ribosomal RNA". It matches the Rfam family "Bacterial small subunit ribosomal RNA". Lineage: Eukaryota; Fungi; Basidiomycota; Agaricomycetes; Thelephorales; Thelephoraceae. The record is from RNAcentral.